GACGAACGCUGGCGGCGUGCUUAACACAUGCAAGUCGAACGGAAAGGCCCUGCUUUUGUGGGGUGCUCGAGUGGCGAACGGGUGAGUAACACGUGAGUAACCUGCCCUUGACUUUGGGAUAACUUCAGGAAACUGGGGCUAAUACCGGAUAGGAGCUCCUGCUGCAUGGUGGGGGUUGGAAAGUUUCGGCGGUUGGGGAUGGACUCGCGGCGUAUCAGCUUGUUGGUGGGGUAGUGGCUUACCAAGGCUUUGACGGGUAGCCGGCCUGAGAGGGUGACCGGCCCCAUUGGGACUGAGAUACGGCCCAGACUCCUACGGGAGGCAGCAGUGGGGAAUAUUGCACAAUGGGCGGAAGCCUGAUGCAGCAACGCCGCGUGCGGGAUGACGGCCUUCGGGUUGUAAACCGCUUUCGCCUGUGACGAAGCGUGAGUGACGGUAAUGGGUAAAGAAGCACCGGCUAACUACGUG
Molecule: ribosomal RNA, 468 nt
Filed under: uncultured bacterium
Lineage: Bacteria
Description: partial 16S ribosomal RNA
Rfam family: Bacterial small subunit ribosomal RNA
Source: RNAcentral